AUGCAGUCGACGCCCUCUUCGGAGGGAGUGGCAGACGGGUGAGUAACGCGUGGGAACCUACCUAGUGGUACGGAAUAACUCGGGGAAACCCGUGCUAAUACCGUAUGUGCCCGAAAGGGGAAAGAUUUAUCGCCAUUAGAUGGGCCCGCGUCGGAUUAGCUUGUUGGUGAGGUAAUGGCUCACCAAGGCGACGAUCCGUAGCUGGUCUGAGAGGAUGAUCAGCCACACUGGGACUGAGACACGGCCCAGACUCCUACGGGAGGCAGCAGUGGAGAAUAUUGGACAAUGGGCGCAAGCCUGAUCCAGCCAUGCCGCGUGAGUGACGAAGGCCUUAGGGUUGUAAAGCUCUUUUGGCGGGGACGAUAAUGACGGUACCCGCAGAAUAAGCCCCGGCUAACUUCGUGCCAGCAGCCGCGGUAAUACG
This 424-nucleotide ribosomal RNA is filed under the name uncultured bacterium. Its description in RNAcentral is "bacterial SSU rRNA". It matches the Rfam family "Bacterial small subunit ribosomal RNA", at positions 55 to 527 of the family's 1533-position model. The record is from RNAcentral.